GUCUACGGCCAUACCACCCUGAACACGCCCGAUCUCAUCUGAUCUCGGAAGUUAAGCAGGUUAGUACUUGGAUGGGAGACCACCUAGGAAGACUGGGUGCUGUAGGCA
This 108-nucleotide ribosomal RNA is filed under the name Pteropus alecto (black flying fox). Lineage: Eukaryota; Metazoa; Chordata; Mammalia; Chiroptera; Pteropodidae. The record is from RNAcentral.